RNAcentral lists this small RNA (27 nucleotides) under Bombyx mori (domestic silkworm). RNAcentral describes it as "ovarian small RNA-26769". Lineage: Eukaryota; Metazoa; Arthropoda; Insecta; Lepidoptera; Bombycidae. The record is from RNAcentral.
UCCAGAUGAUGCCAACGCCAAAGCUAU